CAAGAAAAGGUCAGGAUAGCUCAGUUGGUAGAGCAGAGGACUGAAAAAUCCNUCGUG
RNAcentral lists this transfer RNA (57 nucleotides) under Poa arctica var. vivipara. RNAcentral describes it as "partial tRNA-Phe". Lineage: Eukaryota; Viridiplantae; Streptophyta; Magnoliopsida; Poales; Poaceae. The record is from RNAcentral.